Crocodylus porosus (Australian saltwater crocodile) is the source of this 132-nucleotide small nucleolar RNA. The record is from Ensembl. NCBI's taxonomy places the organism in Eukaryota, Metazoa, Chordata, Crocodylia, Crocodylidae.
GUCGAGACUAGAGUCACAUCCUGACAUCUCUCAUUGUCUUGUUGUGCUAUAGUUCUCGGAGAAAAACUACUGGUCUUUAUUCACUGACUGUUGCAUUUCAUGCCUCAGUUGGUCACCAGAUCAGUUACAUGC